GCGGAUCCUGCACACAGUCACUGUGAAAACUGAGGCCAGGCCCUGGCCACCAAUGCACUGAUCCCUGAGCCUGCUGUCUUCAAAAACUUAAACGUCGCUGAUACAGAAUGACUAAGGAAACUACAGAACUCGUCUGCCAAGGCAGGACCGACUAUCAGGGGUUAAACUAAUAACUGACAGACAGGACUUCCCUGAUAUGACUCAGGAGCUUCUGGCAGAACAGGCUGGGGAACAGAGAUUGUGAGUCACAAAUAAGGACCCCCCCCCCCCCCCCAGGUUAAAGGGGAAGUUUUCUCCAAUCACACAGGAAACAAAGUGAAAAUCCUGAUGGCAGCACCACCAGAUUCACAGCCAGUAAAAGGUCUGCCUUCACUUUGAGUGUAAAUGGAGAAGAAUAUAAGAAAUAACUCAAAAUCAGUGAAGGUGAAAAAGAGAAUUGACACAGUGAGGAUGGAGUUUAAAGCGCCCAACCCUAUAAAAGUACUGAAAACUGUCUAGCAGCAAUCAGAAUGAAAGGCACAAGCUUUCCACAAUCUGCAGUAUACCUCACAAUUUUACUGCCAUUGGAAACAGUAAAUGGUAGAUGUAUGGUAGACUCCAUACUAGCAGCCUAGUGAAGCUCCUAAAAAUGCAGACUGAACACAUAAUCGAGAAGUCACCAUGGAAGAAUGUGAUCGGGGUGUGACGCAGGACCAUUCCAGGAAUGAACUUUUAAACAAACUCAAAAAUUCCUCCAUUUAUAUUCCAAAUACAAAGAAGAUACAAAGUAACAUUGUGUAGGAUGGAAAUAAUGGUCAAGUGAAUGCUACAGUACAGUCUGCUGCCAUCACAGAAUGCUGGGGGUUGUAGUUUUGCACAGCAGAAGAGCCACAGGUUGGACCAGGUAGUGAGAAGACAUCAGAGACCAGUGCCUACCACACGCGUUUUAUAUAUUCCCACCUACUAAUACCCAUGGGUUUUUGGAAUGUUCAGGUUUACUUUAUUUGCUGAAAAGAAAAGAAUGUCCGUACUGUAGCAGUCCAUCUGAACAUGCAGCGCAGUGCCUGGUACCGCCGUAAACUGUACACAGGACCCUGCUAACGGCCAAGUCAAAAAUCCUGACAAUAACCCAGAAGCAAAAAUACCCCAGAAAAGCAAUAGGAGUGUAGAAUAUGUGGGAGACGUCCAAGUUAGAGGCAAUCACUCUGCUCAUUCUAUUCAUAGGUGGCAUUAAAUGGUCCGUGUAAACAGCGCCACCCUCACCUAUGGCUGAACCUGGUAUUGCAGCUCAAGUCAAUAGACAGCCCAGGGCAAGAGUUUCUGGAGAAAACAAAGCAGAAGCUAAAAUGUUUCUGGCCUCUAGUUUGGCCUGUCCACAUCUGCAUCGGAAGCCUCCAUCACAGUUCUCGUCAGUGCAGCACGAGCGCCUUCUCAAUGCGACAGACACUGCAACCGAACCCAUUAUAUAAGUCAGUAGGAGCGGUUAACCUAUGGAUCCGACACUGCAUCCUGUUUCCUGUUUAUAGCGCAAACCAUGACACAGAUAUGAACAGAGCCUUACGCAGCCAUUGACUUCUGCUUUAAUAGAGAGCUGCCCAGACCAGGAAUCAGCCUCCUUCAGCAUGCCAGCUGCUGUGAAACUACAACUCCCAGCAUGCAAACAUGCUUGGCUCCUCUUUUAACUCCUAUAGAAGUGAACUAAGCAUUCUGGUAGUUGUAGUUUCUGAAAAGCUGGAGGUUGCUGAUCCCUGAACUAGACUAACACAAUGUAACAACACCUCAGCUGUGUGAGCAGGUCUCGUGCAAAUGACACAUGUGCAUGAUAUCUUAGAAAAGACAGCUCGUAUUGACUCUGUGACCUGUGUCAGAUAUGAUCAGGAUGGGUUUUCAGCUUCUGCAUGCUAACAAUGUUUCCAUUCACUGACAGCAAACCGUGAUAUACAGAGUAUAUUAGAUAACAGCAAAAUGUUUUAAUAUACAGAUGAAAGCUGGAUCCCUCGCCAUACGGUGUCCUAUGUAGCAUAGCUCCCCUUUUGACCUGGCAGUGAACAGGAACUGCACCUCCAGUAAGUACUCAGAAUACUCCUCCUGGCAGAACAAGCUUCAUUCAGCGAAUCCGGAAAAAGGUCUGCCUGCCCAGAGCGUGUUUAUAUGUGCAGCAGACGCACCGCACCCUUCAGUAACCGUACCUACAACAAGAAGCCAGUGUACUCCGCUCCGAGCCACGACGCACCAACAAACCUCCACUUUUACGAAGGGAAACGAGGAGCAGCCAAAACCGUACGGUAACUAGAAGAGGGACGGGAAAUCGCCAUGAUCUCCAUGAACAGUCUCCUUAAAAGGGACUCUACCAUCUCAAACAGGUUUUCUGGGUCCUAGAUAUCCAUGACGCAUCCACAAGAUGGUCAGAUAGUAGGUGACGGCAGCAUCUUUCUCCAUAAUCCUCUAGCAGUCCCAAACCCGAAGCAGAUCGGCCGGCACCGCUCCUGUCAGUUCAAUAAUGGCUCAAAUCCUACUUAUCACAGUCAACUACCUUAUGCAUCACCCCCAAUUCCUCAUAGAUUGUAAGCUCUCGCGAGCAGGGCCCUGAACCCUAUGAAUGUAUAAAGAGCUGCGGAAUAUGGUGGCGCUAUAUAAAUACAUUUUAUUAGUAUUAUUAUAAAUUCUUUAUUAAUAGUUAGUCCAUGACAAAUGUACAAAAAAGGCCAAUCAAAGCAGACACGUUUCGACUACGCAGUAGUGUAUUGUUUCAGUCAAAUUGGGUCGGGUUCACACAAGGGCACAGAAACAAGAUCUCACAUUUUACUAGAGAUGGUUUCUGAUGUUCUUCUUAAAGCCGCAGCGCUAGGAAAACCUCCAAGAGCUGCUCCUUUGGGAAAUGGCAAUUGUGGUGCCAAAUACUGUACAAGCAGCUGGUUGUGAUUUUCCCUUAAGACAUUCGGAGCAUCAAAGAUGUAAAUAUAAAUUAACUUCAAUGUGACAUCUAUGAACGAUUCCAGAUUGUGGUAAAGAAUGCGCCUGCAGGACAAGUGCUGAUCUAAUGUAUCAAAUCUAAGUCAUAUUUUUGUUGCUGUGCUUGACCUUUCUUGAAGUUUCCCUUUUUAUGACUAGAAAUGUGUGACGUGGAUUACGUGGCGUCACCUCCUCGGGUUCUCACCGUUAUUAUCAGGAAACCAAUAAUAAAUAUUUACUCUACGUCUGACUCUCUGAGGAUGUAUGUAUACCGCACCAAACAUCCUAUUGAUGGACUCCACCGCAAUAUCACAUGAGAGAGUAACAAACAGAAAUCUAGAAGAAUUCUAAACAGUUGAUUACAUUGUAUUGCAGUCAGUUGUAAAUGAAGGAACAUGAACAUAGAAUUUAUAUAAGGAGAAAACUGAUUUACAGGGUAGCUUCACUAGAUAUCACGUGCAAGAAUAUACCAUAAUACUGCCUCCUAUGUACAAGAAUAUAACUACUAUAAUACUGCCUCCUAUGUACAAGAAUAUAACUAAUAUA
Long non-coding RNA from Bufo gargarizans (Asiatic toad), 3477 nucleotides. RefSeq lists it as uncharacterized. The record is from RefSeq and is a predicted model, not a curated record. Lineage: Eukaryota; Metazoa; Chordata; Amphibia; Anura; Bufonidae. The transcript has 3 exons.